Molecule: ribosomal RNA, 440 nt
Filed under: uncultured bacterium
Lineage: Bacteria
Description: partial 16S ribosomal RNA
Rfam family: Bacterial small subunit ribosomal RNA
Source: RNAcentral
CCUACGGGGGGCAGCAGUGGGGGAUAUUGCACAAUGGGGGAAACCCUGAUGCAGCGACGCCGCGUGUGGGAAGACGGUCCUCUGGAUUGUAAACCACUGUCCCCAGGGACGAAGAUGACGGUACCUGGGGAGGAAGCUCCGGCUAACUACGUGCCAGCAGCAGCGGUAAUACGUAGGGAGCGAGCGUUGUCCGGAAUUACUGGGUGUAAAGGGAGCGUAGGCGGGGAUGCAAGUUGGGUGUCAAAACUACCGGCUCAACGGGUAGACGCACUCAAAACUGCAGCUCUUGAGUGAAGUAGAGGCGGGCGGAAUUCCAAGGGUAGCGGUGAAAUGCGUAGAGAUUAGGAGGAACACCAGUGGCGAAGGUGGCCUGCUGGGCUUUUACUGACGCUGAGGCUCGAAAGUGUGGGGAGCAAACAGGAUUAGAUACCCUUGUAGUC